Molecule: long non-coding RNA, 1541 nt
Organism: Cebus imitator (Panamanian white-faced capuchin)
Lineage: Eukaryota; Metazoa; Chordata; Mammalia; Primates; Cebidae
Exons: 3
Source: RefSeq, a predicted model, not a curated record
AUCCGGGAAUUGUAUUGAGUUUGUUUUUCACAGUUGAGGUCGCCGCUCUUUGCUCUCAGAUUUCAAAGUGAGAGGCACUGGCUGCUUUCUAAUGCAGGGGCAGCAGCCCGGCUAUGAGCUCUGUGAGUCAGGAGGGAAGCUAGAGAAUUUCCACAUCUCCAGGUUCAAAACUGUGCAGGGCCAGGUGAUUGCCAGGAGCUUUGCGUUCAGUGAGGUGAUGCUCUCAGGGCAGGAGGCUGGUGCACACGGGCCUCCUCGGGGACCCAGGGACUGGGAGCAGGCAGGCUCCACAGGUUGGCCUUUGCCUUUACUCACUGGCAUGCCUAGAUGUGGGAGUGGUUUCACAAAGGACAUGAAGUGAAAAACACAACUCUCACCUUCUAUUUUAUGAUAGCAGCACUGUGAUUCUAACUUAGUGUCAGAUGGGAAACUGGAGUUUUUGGCUGAGCAGGAAAAGGAAAGCCUCUCUAUUCGGUAACGUGUACCUUAGACCUCCAGACCUUGGGAGGUUAAGGCAUGUAUACCGCCAAGCCUGAGGACAGCAUGUGCAAAGGCCCUGAGCAGAGAGGAGUUUGGUUGGUUUUCAGCGAAGAGAGAAGGCUGGUGUGGCUGAAGCCUAUUGAGUGAGAGAGUCCAAAGACAAGACAGAGCCUCAGCCUUUAAGGUCUUGUGGGCCAUGCUAAGAGCUGAAGGAGGAGUGCUUGGUGCCGCAGUCGGAACUAUGAUGUGCUUUCUUCUGGCACCAUCAGGGCAGCUUCCCAGAGCUCUUCAAGAAAUGCAAGGAGGGCAGGGCUGUCUGAGACACUGACAAAACCCCCUUUAUGGGAUCAGAGGAGAUGGAGCAUCUGGCAUUUGACAAGACACUGGUUCACGUGAUGAAGUCACAUGGACUUUUGGAAAAGAACCUACUGCACUGCAGGUGUCCGAUGCCUGCCACAGCACAUGAGUCAGCAGGGAUGAACACUCUGAGAGAGUUCUGAAGCACAGAGGUUGGUGUGAGUUUAGAAAGAAAACACCUGAUCCUCCCACCUCGUGGGAAUUCCUAUUGUGGUCUCAGCCAGGUAGCAUCCGUACCCUUUAAUAGAUUUAUAACAGCAGUUCUGGAUCAGAAACAGCAAGCUGGUCUUUGGUGACUGAGAUUCAUGAGGUCUCAGCUCAGUGCCACUGGAUAUCUGUGCACCAAACUGGGGCAUAAAGCAACAGCCCUGCCACCAGAAGCUAUGAAGGUAGAGCCAAGAUCACUGGGCACCAACUAGAACAAAAGAACACCAUGAGAAAACAGGGUACUCUACUCGGUGGGGGCUGCCAUGACAAAGUAUCAGACUGGGCGGCUGAAACAGCAGAAACAUAUGUCUCCUGCAGGUCUGGAGGCUGGAGUACAAGAUCAAGGCACUGUAUUUGCAGAUUCAGAUGCCACAGUUAUACUAACACAAAAAGAAGUUUGAGAAACGUUUUACAUUUCUAUUCUCUUUGGAGUUUACAUAAUGUAAAGAUUAUCCCAACCUCACAAGCUUAAAAAAAAUUAUCAAUAUUGCCACCAC